GCCUCGGUAGCUCGGCAGGUUAGAGCGCCACAUUGGUAAUGUGGAGGCCGUGAGUUCAAUUCUCACCCGAGGCU
This 74-nucleotide transfer RNA is filed under the name Candidatus Pacearchaeota archaeon. RNAcentral's name for it is "tRNA-Thr". It matches the Rfam family "tRNA". Rfam says of the family: Transfer RNA (tRNA) molecules are approximately 80 nucleotides in length. Their secondary structure includes four short double-helical elements and three loops (D, anti-codon, and T loops). The record is from RNAcentral. Lineage: Archaea; Nanobdellati.